AAGUUGAUCAAAUAAUGAAGACUGAAUUAAACUAUAUACUAGGAAUCUCCGACCUGAAGCCACAGCUGUGGUUAAUACUAUAACUUCCACCACUCUCUGCUCCUGAGGAUAUAAAUAGAGAGAAGUAGCGUUAUGAUGUAAUUCAGAUGAAAAGCAUGUGCAUAGUUAUCUCAUGGUCAUCAAGACCAGUUUAGAAAGUCUGGUGACAGCAUGGACGCAGAAGCCAUUUAAAAUAAUUUUAGGGCAGUCUGUUGCUUAGAAAGGCCCUACUGCAGGAGCUCCCACACAUCUACCACCUCUACACCCUUGAGAUGGAAUAUCUCCAGGCACAGCCUGGCAAUCUGCUUCUCUAUAUCUUGCUAAGUGGGCUGCUCCAAGGGAACUGAAGUGAAACCGUCAAAGGGAGCAUCAAAGGAGCUGUAAAAGGAGUCGAAGCAGCUAAAGGAAACUAAUGCCGCAGAGGAGAAUGAAGGAGCUGCAGUCACCAAGGUGGAAGAAGACCCCCUACCAAACUUUAAAGCGAUUCGGCAAACAAACCGCGAAAUUGCUCCAACAUUCGUAUGUGCCGCUUUGCCAGUCUCAUAUUACUGAAGACCAGGAAGAUGGCUGCCAUGAAGUACGAUCCCUGAAUCUGCAC
Xenopus laevis (African clawed frog) is the source of this 637-nucleotide long non-coding RNA. RefSeq lists it as uncharacterized. The transcript has 3 exons. The record is from RefSeq and is a predicted model, not a curated record. Lineage: Eukaryota; Metazoa; Chordata; Amphibia; Anura; Pipidae.